RNAcentral lists this ribosomal RNA (463 nucleotides) under uncultured Alphaproteobacteria bacterium. RNAcentral's name for it is "bacterial SSU rRNA". It matches the Rfam family "Bacterial small subunit ribosomal RNA", at positions 9 to 521 of the family's 1533-position model. Lineage: Bacteria; Pseudomonadati; Pseudomonadota; Alphaproteobacteria. The record is from RNAcentral.
GAGUUUGAUCAUGGCUCAGAACGAACGCUGGCGGCAGGCUUAACACAUGCAAGUCGAGCGCCCCGCAAGGGGAGCGGCAGACGGGUGAGUAACACGUGGGAACGUACCCUUUACUACGGAAUAACGCAGGGAAACUUGUGCUAAUACCGUAUGUGCCCUUUUGGGGAAAGAUUUAUCGGUAAGGGAUCGGCCCGCGUUGGAUUAGCUAGUUGGUGGGGUAAAGCCUACCAAGGCGACGAUCCAUAGCUGGUCUGAGAGGAUGAUCAGCCACAUUAGGACUGAGACACGGCCCAAACUCCUACGGGAGGCAGCAGUGGGGAAUAUUGGACAAUGGGCGCAAGCCUGAUCCAGCCAUGCCGCGUGAGUGAUGAAGGCCCUAGGGUUGUAAAGCUCUUUCACCGGAGAAGAUAAUGACGGUAUCCGGAGAAGAAGCCCCGGCUAACUUCGUGCCAGCAGCCGCGGU